ACGCACGCUGGCGGCGUGCUUCACCCCUGCCAGUCGAACGGAAAGGCCCUGCUUUUGUGGGGUGCUCGAGUGGCGAACGGGUGAGUAACACGUGAGUAACCUGCCCUUGACUUUGGGAUAACUUCAGGAAACUGGGGCUAAUACCGGAUAGGAGCUCCUGCUGCAUGGUGGGGGUUGGAAAGUUUCGGCGGUUGGGGAUGGACUCGCGGCUUAUCAGCUUGUUGGUGGGGUAGUGGCUUACCAAGGCUUUGACGGGUAGCCGGCCUGAGAGGGUGACCGGCCACAUUGGGACUGAGAUACGGCCCAGACUCCUACGGGAGGCAGCAGUGGGGAAUAUUGCACAAUGGGCGGAAACCUGAUGCAGCAACGCCGCGUGCGGGAUGACGGCCUUCGGGUUGUAAACCGCUUUCGCCUGUGACGAAGCGUGAGUGACGGUAAUGGGUAAAGAAGCACCGGCUAACUACGUG
Molecule: ribosomal RNA, 467 nt
Filed under: uncultured bacterium
Lineage: Bacteria
Description: partial 16S ribosomal RNA
Rfam family: Bacterial small subunit ribosomal RNA
Source: RNAcentral